GCCGGGCAUGGUGGCAUAUGCCUGUAAUCCCGGCGCCUCAGGAGACUGAGGCAGGAGGAUCACAAGUUCAAAGCCAGCCUCAGCAAAAGCAAGAUGCUAAGUAACUCAGUUGAGACCCUGUCUCUA
This 126-nucleotide small RNA is filed under the name Marmota monax (woodchuck). Lineage: Eukaryota; Metazoa; Chordata; Mammalia; Rodentia; Sciuridae. The record is from RNAcentral.